RNAcentral lists this long non-coding RNA (969 nucleotides) under Carassius auratus (goldfish). RNAcentral's name for it is "lncRNA (ENSCARG00000030691.1)". The record is from RNAcentral. Lineage: Eukaryota; Metazoa; Chordata; Actinopteri; Cypriniformes; Cyprinidae.
AUGAGUGACCAUUCCAAUUUCGAACAGGUCCUUGAUGAGCUUGAUGAGCUUGUUGAACAUUCUGAAUUAAAUUAUGAACUCCAGAGCUUGGAUGAUUUCAUUAAUAAGAUGUCGGGAGAACAGGAGGCAGCACCAUCCACCAGCCAUCAACCUGUCAGGUGGUUGAAGAGAGACAGUGAUGGAAAUGUUGUCUAUGACAGACCAAGGUCAUCCCGAAACCAAAUGGAGACUUUCCUUGAAGAGCUAAACCACUCACAGGGUGAUGACUUGGAUGAUCAGGAAACGGCACCAGCACCACCACGGGCCUCUUCAGACUGGUCUACUCGAAAAAGUCUCCUCUCAGAGAGGUGGGAGAAAGAAAGAGCCUGUCUGGUGAAUACCAUGGUAGCACAACAAAAUGUGACAACUCAGAUCUGCCAACAAUGUGGCAUCAGUCCAGCUGCUGUCCGUUGUCGUGACUGCAGACCACAACCAUUUUUCUGUGCUGAUUGUGAUGUCAGUAUACACCGAAACCACGUAUUCCACAACAGGGAUGCAACAAUAGCUGGAUUCUUUCAGCCAUUGCCUCCAACAACCUGUGUCGUGGAGAGGGCUCUUUCCCAGUGUGUGUGUAUUGUGCCGUUGGAGAUGCCCAAAAAAAUAUGUAGUUGUUCUCCAGGAUCGUUGAGUGUCAACACAGGAAAAGUUGUUGCUGUGGUUACAAUGAAUGGACGAUAUGAUCUCAGUAUGCCUGAGAUGAAAUGCGAGGCAUGCAAAACCACAUGGAGCCCGGGAGUGGAUGACUUAGUCCGUAAUGACUACUGGCCUGCUACCCUUCACUUUUCCACAGUGUACUCUACAGAUGUGUUUUAUUCAUAUGAAGAGUUGAAGAUGGCAGCACCAGGACUGUCAUGCCAAGCAUUUUUAAGAAUGCUUGAUCAACGAACUCUCCGCUUUGGCCGUGUGAGUAUUAGUGGUGGGAAUCACUAA